AGAACGAACGCUGGCGGCAUGCCUAACACAUGCAAGUCGAACGAGACCUUCGGGUCUAGUGGCGCACGGGUGCGUAACGCGUGGGAAUCUACCCUGGGGUGCGGAAUAACUCGGAGAAGUCCGUGCUAAUACCGCAUAAUGUCUUCGGACCAAAGAUUUAUCGCCCUGGGAUGAGCCCGCGUAGGAUUAGCUAGUUGGUGGGGUAAAAGCCUACCAAGGCGACGAUCCUUAGCUGGUCUGAGAGGAUGAUCAGCCACACUGGGACUGAGACACGGCCCAGACUCCUACGGGAGGCAGCAGUGGGGAAUAUUGGACAAUGGGCGAAAGCCUGAUCCAGCAAUGCCGCGUGAGUGAUGAAGGCCCUAGGGUGUAAAGCUCUUUUACCCGGGAUGAUAAUGACAGUACCGGAGAAUAAGCUCCGGCUAACUCCGUGCCAGCAGCCGC
This 444-nucleotide ribosomal RNA is filed under the name uncultured soil bacterium. RNAcentral describes it as "bacterial SSU rRNA". It matches the Rfam family "Bacterial small subunit ribosomal RNA", at positions 26 to 518 of the family's 1533-position model. The record is from RNAcentral.